RNAcentral lists this ribosomal RNA (253 nucleotides) under uncultured bacterium. RNAcentral describes it as "partial 16S ribosomal RNA". It matches the Rfam family "Bacterial small subunit ribosomal RNA", at positions 524 to 776 of the family's 1533-position model. The record is from RNAcentral.
GACGUAGGGGGCCAGCGUUGUUCGGAAUUACUGGGUGUAAAGGGUUCGUAGGCGGUGCGGCAAGUUGGGAGUGAAAUCUCUGGGCUUAACCCAGAGGCUGCUUCCAAAACUGCUGUGCUUGAGUGUGGGAGAGGCGCGUGGAAUUGCAGGUGUAGCGGUGAAAUGCGUAGAUAUGCGGAGGAACACCGAUGGCGAAGGCAAUCCCCUGGGCCUGCACUGACGCUCAUGCACGAAAGCGUGGGGAGCAAACAGG